AUGGGGUCCUGUUAUACCAUGAGAAAGAAAACCUUUAUUUCAACAGGCAACAACUUAGUAAGGAAACUCCAGGAAUGUUUUUUUGAUUUUAUUUAUUUAUUUAUUUAUUUUCCCUAGCAGACCUAUAAACACAUUUGGGUAGAAGGGCAAAGGCUGGGUUCCUGCCCUCCUCAUCUCAGCUGUCCAUGGGGACUUGUCAGAUUUGUUGCCAUCACGUCAGCAGGGCAGGAGGCAGCUAAAAUCAGCUUCCUGCCAUAAGGGAAUACGCGGCAGAUGGCACUGUUUCUUUAGCAGUCUGCACCAGCCUCCUUUUCCCUUUGUGGGAAGUUCCAGGCUCAGGAUUUCACCUCUGUGAAGGAAAAGAUGUGGUACAUCAUGUUUUGAAGAACAUAAGCAGAUUUGACAGAAGUCUGGAACUAAGGAUGUGCUUUCAUGGAAAUGGAAAUUUAAGGCUGCAUGGAUUUCACUCCCAUCUCUUAAGCAACCAUCUUGGACCAUCUUCUUUUGGAAGAGACACCCACCAUAUGUACAUUCAUUGUCAACAGUUUGGAUUCUGAGUUUUCUUGGAUUAAUAAAUACUCCUGAUUUUCUAGCA
RNAcentral lists this long non-coding RNA (595 nucleotides) under Anas platyrhynchos platyrhynchos (common mallard). RNAcentral describes it as "lncRNA (ENSAPLG00000021409.1)". The record is from RNAcentral. Lineage: Eukaryota; Metazoa; Chordata; Aves; Anseriformes; Anatidae.